This 77-nucleotide transfer RNA is filed under the name Streptococcus pyogenes. RNAcentral's name for it is "tRNA-Thr(cgt)". It matches the Rfam family "tRNA". Rfam says of the family: Transfer RNA (tRNA) molecules are approximately 80 nucleotides in length. Their secondary structure includes four short double-helical elements and three loops (D, anti-codon, and T loops). Further hydrogen bonds mediate the characteristic L-shaped molecular structure. tRNAs have two regions of fundamental functional importance: the anti-codon, which is responsible for specific mRNA codon recognition, and the 3' end, to which the tRNAs corresponding amino acid is attached (by aminoacyl-tRNA synthetases). tRNAs cope with the degeneracy of the genetic code in two manners: having more than one tRNA (with a specific anti-codon) for a particular amino acid; and 'wobble' base-pairing, i.e. permitting non-standard base-pairing at the 3rd anti-codon position. The record is from RNAcentral. Lineage: Bacteria; Bacillati; Bacillota; Bacilli; Lactobacillales; Streptococcaceae.
GCCCGGGUAGCUCAGCAGGCCAGAGCAGCCGUUUCGUAAUCGGCAGGUCGUGGGUUCGAUUCCCGCCCCGGGCUCCA